AGCUAUAAGUUCAUAUUUAUGGUUUAACCUGCCCAAUGUUAAAGAUUAAUGGCCGCGGUACCCUGACCGUGCUAAGGUAGCGUAAUCAGUUGGCUUUUAAAUGGAGUCAGGAAUGAAUGGGAUAACCGGGCUUAGCUGUCUCCUAAUUAUUUAAUUGAAUUUACUGAUCAAGUGAAAAAGCUUGAAAUUGGAAAAGGGACGAGAAGACCCUUAGAAUUUUUCUUAGAGUGAAAGUAUUUUUUCAUAAUUGUUUUGUUGGGGUGACAAAGAAAUAUUUACUAACUUUCUUUACUUUUAACAUGCCGAAUAAUUUUAAGCAAGAAUAAAUUACCUGAGGGAUAACAGCAUAAUUCCAUAGAUGAGUUUGUGACCUCGAUGUUGGACUAGGAAACUAGCAAGCUAGCCGUUUGUUGUGUGGGCUCUGUUCGAGCUUUAAUUCCU
Molecule: ribosomal RNA, 441 nt
Filed under: Armina sp. 9 MP-2010
Lineage: Eukaryota; Metazoa; Mollusca; Gastropoda; Nudibranchia; Arminidae
Description: partial 16S ribosomal RNA
Rfam family: Bacterial large subunit ribosomal RNA
Source: RNAcentral